CCUACGGGUGGCUGCAGUGGGGAAUAUUGGACAAUGGGCGAAAGCCUGAUCCAGCCAUGCCGCGUGUGUGAAGAAGGCCUUCGGGUUGUAAAGCACUUUCAGUGGGGAAGAAAGCCUUGGGGCUAAUACCCUCGAGGAAGGACAUCACCCACAGAAUAAGCACCGGCUAACUCCGUGCCAGCAGCCGCGGUAAUCCGGAGGGUGCGAGCGUUAAUCGGAAUUACUGGGCGUAAAGCGCGCGUAGGCGGUCUGAUAAGCCGGUUGUGAAAGCCCCGGGCUCAACCUGGGAACGGCAUCCGGAACUGUCAGGCUAGAGUGCAGGAGAGGAAGGUAGAAUUCCCGGUGUAGCGGUGAAAUGCGUAGAGAUCGGGAGGAAUACCAGUGGCGAAGGCGGCCUUCUGGACUGACACUGACGCUGAGGUGCGAAAGCGUGGGUAGCAAACAGGAUUAGAUACCCUGGUAGUC
Molecule: ribosomal RNA, 465 nt
Filed under: Vreelandella stevensii
Lineage: Bacteria; Pseudomonadati; Pseudomonadota; Gammaproteobacteria; Oceanospirillales; Halomonadaceae
Description: partial 16S ribosomal RNA
Rfam family: Bacterial small subunit ribosomal RNA
Source: RNAcentral